AGGUGACCUGACCGCAGAAGCAGUAAGUCUCAGCGUGUUCAGGUGUGAGGCGUGGCUGAGCAGCGAGGCCUGUGAUUUACCGCUCUGGAGGGCACGCCUGAGUGUGAUUAAGGGCCAUGCGUGCAGGGCCCCAAGAUUUACUUCCUUCCUGUUCCAGCGGGGCUACCUGAGGGAAUAAAUAUGAAAAUUGAGGCAACCACUUGCUGGAAAUAGACUCUCUUCCCAAGAGCCCAGCAGGACACCUCCGAUCAAGUGGCUCUGUCUGUGGGCUUCUUCCCUUCAUCUCGUAGUAGCGCAAGAUCUCUGCUUGGGGCUGACUUCUGGGGCUGGUUUUCUCCGUUGCUUCUUCUCUGGGGCUGGGCUCCAGCCACUGAUGAGAUUUACAACCUGUUAUUGUACAAUUCCAGUUGCAUUGCCACUGGGUGCUUCUCAGCCCAACAGAACAAAGUGUUAGC
Octodon degus (degu) is the source of this 455-nucleotide long non-coding RNA. RefSeq lists it as uncharacterized. The transcript has 3 exons. NCBI's taxonomy places the organism in Eukaryota, Metazoa, Chordata, Mammalia, Rodentia, Octodontidae. The record is from RefSeq and is a predicted model, not a curated record.